Long non-coding RNA from Sinocyclocheilus rhinocerous, 314 nucleotides. RefSeq lists it as uncharacterized. Lineage: Eukaryota; Metazoa; Chordata; Actinopteri; Cypriniformes; Cyprinidae. The transcript is spliced from 3 exons. The record is from RefSeq and is a predicted model, not a curated record.
GCGUGCAUUAUGUUAGGUUGCGCGCGCUGGAGGCCGUCGUCUGCUGCUGUAAUUCGGCUAGAGUGGGAAGGAAAAUAUUGUUUAAAAUCGACUUUUACCCACUCGCGAAUAAUCCGUUUCGCUCGGAUUUUACGCUACUCCUUCCUUACAGAGAAAGCGGCUCGCUAAAAGGGCAGACCGGGACAGAGAGUCGAUUAGCGGCCCAUGCAGCCAUAACGAGCCCGUGAUACACCAUCAGACCGCUGGAGAAGGUAACUCCUCGCCCCCCUUUCGUCUCCUGUUUCCUAAGCUUCUCUGUCCCCUGCCCCUCAUAA